Phyllostomus discolor (pale spear-nosed bat) is the source of this 268-nucleotide long non-coding RNA. RefSeq lists it as uncharacterized. The transcript is spliced from 2 exons. Lineage: Eukaryota; Metazoa; Chordata; Mammalia; Chiroptera; Phyllostomidae. The record is from RefSeq and is a predicted model, not a curated record.
CCCACAGUCCGGCCCAGCGCCCCUGGCCCUCACGGACACCCGCGUGCCCUCGGGGGCGCGCCCCCGUGCCUGCCCGGCCGGCAGAGGGCGGGGUCGCUCACCGGUCCGCAGCUCAUGCUUGACAAGAGUACCUACAGAGCUCACAAACACGCCGAAUGUGGCGGGUUCGGAGCCCUCCGCCGAGUCGCAAGAUCUGGUCUGAGAUCUGGCGCGCGGACCUGUGCCCACGAGUGCACAGCUGGGAGAGGCGUUGGAGGCACGCACAUCA